Molecule: long non-coding RNA, 433 nt
Filed under: Monodelphis domestica (gray short-tailed opossum)
Lineage: Eukaryota; Metazoa; Chordata; Mammalia; Didelphimorphia; Didelphidae
Description: lncRNA (ENSMODG00000033125.2)
Source: RNAcentral
UAUUAUUAAAUAUAUUUAUAUAAAUAUAUAUAAUAAAUAUAAAAAUAAUUUUUAGACCUUUACCUUCCAUAGUAGAAUCAAUACUGUGUCUUUGUUCCAAGGCAGAAGAGGGAUAAGGGCUAGGCAAUGGAAGUUAAGUGGUUUGCCACCACUUUGACUGAGGCCAAAUCUGACCCAGGACCUUCUGUAAAGGUACAGCCAAAACUGGAAAUAGUGGCCAGACAGGAUGUCAGCAGAGUGGGCUACUCACUGGGGCCUUCCUCUGAUCACAGCCCACGUUUCAGUGGGGGGCAGCUCCUAAGCCAAGUUCUGAAGGAGAUCAUCGACAUGUAUGGAUUCCCUGAUAUUGCUCCUUGGAUAUAACCAUCUGCUAAGUGUAAAUUUUCCCCUGAUGUUUAAUAAAAAUAGAAAGGAGAAUGAAUGAAGCUGCUUA